RNAcentral lists this unclassified non-coding RNA (442 nucleotides) under Hevea brasiliensis (rubber tree). The record is from RNAcentral. Lineage: Eukaryota; Viridiplantae; Streptophyta; Magnoliopsida; Malpighiales; Euphorbiaceae.
CUGAAGCUACUCGGCGGUGCUCCUCGCAGGUUGAUUCAAUAUGCCCAAAAAGAAUUCUUCAAAGGCAACUUUGCAAGCAGAAGAAUGUACUGUUGUAGAACCAGAAAAACCCACUUCAACACUGAAGAAACCCAGCAAUGAGAUUGAUGAAAUCUUCUCUGGAAAGAAGAGGAAAAAACCUGAGAAACAAAAGAAUGAUAAGGCAAAUGAAACUGAAUCUGAUAAACCAAAAUCAUUGAAGAAGAAAAAGAAGAAGACUAAAGAAGAUAAAGAGGGAAGGUUUACAGACCCACCUUCUAGACAUCGAAAGAAAACCAAGGAUGGACUCAAUAUCUAUACUGAAGAGGAAUUAGGUAUUAACCACUCCAAUGCUGGAGGUACACCACUUUGCCCAUUUGAUUGUGAUUGUUGCUUUUGAUGAUUUUCAUCAAUGGAGCAGCUU